GUUAUUUGAUGUGCGUUUUUUCUUUACCGGUCAAUGAAUCAGUAUGUAAUGAUUUAUUCUUCAGUGCUGACGGCUGUGAUAUAAAGACACGAUUCCGACGCAUUUUCAAAAGAGUUUAAUUCUGAGAAGCAGGCAUUCCUCAGAUGUUUCAAACCAGUUACUCUCGAUGGACAAGUCGUCAGCGGUGUGGCCCUUCUUCCCGAUGUUGCGGUCAUAUUAAUAAAUGGAAAAGAAUUCCAAUUUCUAAAACAGGUUCAGCGAACAGAGAAAAGGAUAAACCCGGUGGAGGAAGCUCUGAGGUUCGUUUUAUGACAUCAUGACCCUGAAGAUAUAUGCGAAAAAUAUAUCAACGAUUUUAUAGGUCGAGGUGUUUUUGCCAAAAAGAAAAUGAUCAAAAAUGGAAAAUUCCUUGCGGAAUACCAUGGCGUUUUAUCCAAAGCUGACGACAUGAAGGACAAAGA
Molecule: long non-coding RNA, 461 nt
Organism: Mercenaria mercenaria
Lineage: Eukaryota; Metazoa; Mollusca; Bivalvia; Venerida; Veneridae
Exons: 4
Source: RefSeq, a predicted model, not a curated record